Long non-coding RNA from Cannabis sativa, 1197 nucleotides. RefSeq lists it as uncharacterized. The transcript is spliced from 3 exons. The record is from RefSeq and is a predicted model, not a curated record. Lineage: Eukaryota; Viridiplantae; Streptophyta; Magnoliopsida; Rosales; Cannabaceae.
AUUCAUUGCACCGCGUACCCAGAUCACGUUAUCUGGAGAGGAUUUGCAGCAGGUUGCUACGUGUGACUACAUCGGCAACCAGGGAAUGCUGUUUGGAAUGAUGCACAUAUGGGAGAGCAUCAACGGUCUGAGAAAAAUUUUCAAGUUUUACGACCCAGAGCUUCUCACAGUGCAUGGGAUCAACGAUGAAGAACAGAGUCAGUCUUUUGACGAUGCGGCAAGACGAUUGGCUAAUUGGUUAUCAUUAAUGAACAACAACCACCAAAUGUUCUUUAUUCCUUGGAAUAUCGGGUAAACUUUAUUAAAUUCUUUAGUGCUAAUUGUUCAUUUCUAUAUUAUGUCUUCAAAUUAUUUUUAUACUAUCUUACUUAUAUUCCAAUAUAAUUUUCUAGGAUGCAUUGGACGCUAGUGGUGGUUGCGCCAGGGAAAAUUAUCCAUUUAAACCCUGUAAAAGGCCGCCCAAUUCCCGAAGAAAUAGAACAAAUGAUCGGAAGGUAAUAAUUUAAUGACUUCUUAUGUAACGAAUUGAAAUGCUAAUAUAAUUUUCCUAAACAGGGCAUUCAUGUAUAUAGGGGACGCACAUCAGUAUCUUGGCCCGUGGCAAGGAAUUUCACAAGCAAACUGUCCAAGACAACCUAAAAGCCAAGAAUGGGGUUUUUAUGUUUUGAAAUAUAUCACUGACAUCGUCGCACGUGCCAACCCCAACCGUUACAUACAAGAUCAAAAAGCUUUUGGUGGUAAGAAGCAAUACGAUCCAAAAACAGAAUUGUUACCACUACAGCGAAAGUGGAUCGAACAAUUGAUGGCGGUGAUUCACGGUGACGAUUGAGGUUCAAAGGACGAAGAAUUUUUCUUCAUUAUGUUAUUUUUAUAGAUUAACUUGUAAUUAGAUUUAUUAACUUAUUAAUAUUUUUAACUAAUUUUACAUGUUUGUGUAAUAUUUAAUUACUUUUAUGAAAUCAAAUUAUGUUUUUACCCAAAUUUAAUUACUAUUUAAUUUAAAAUGUAAUUAAUAUAUAAUUAAAUUAAAUAAAUAUGUAAUUAAUAUAUAAUUAAAUUAAAUAAAUAUGUAAUUAAUAUAUAAUUAAAUUAAAUAAAUAUGUAAUUUAAAAUUUAAAUAAAUAUGUAAUUUAAAUUAAAUAAAAUAAUAUAUAAAUUAAUAAAUAUAAAAUUAAAAUAAUAUAUAAAAUUAUUAAA